Molecule: RNA transcript, 5000 nt
Organism: Suncus etruscus (white-toothed pygmy shrew)
Lineage: Eukaryota; Metazoa; Chordata; Mammalia; Eulipotyphla; Soricidae
Gene: PPFIA4
Gene name: PTPRF interacting protein alpha 4
Exons: 31
Source: RefSeq, a predicted model, not a curated record
GGGGCGCUCGGGCGCUGGCGGAGGCGGCUGCAGCUCCCCGGGCGCCGGCGGCGGCUCCCCCGGGUCAUGUAGGUAGGGCUCCUCUGGUUGGGGAGGGCCCUCUGCCUCCCAGCCGAGCCGAGCUGAGCUGAGCUGAGCGGCGACGGCGGCUGCAGGCAGAUCAGAGUUUCAUCUUCCAGAAAUCGGAGUCACUGGAUCCAGCUGGGCCUCUGCUAGGCCCCGGUGUCUCUUCCAUCCCUGUGCUCCUCGCUCAGCAUGGCUUCACGGUGCUACUGCCCACCUGCCUGGGGACACAGGGCUCCCAGCCCUGGCUCUGUGCGGUUAGGCCAAACGCUCAGGCUCUGUGGCUCACAUGUGUUCUGGGCGCCAGGCCCUUCUCAGAGCAAGAGCCACUGAGGCCAUGGGAGAGUUUCCUGCUUACCUCUCCCGGCACUGCCUGCUCUGAGACCCGUGUUUGGGGUCACCCCUGGGAGGUGCCAGCCCUGUUUACCCACCCCACCUGUCCCCCACCAUGUGUGAGGUGAUGCCCACAAUCAAUGAGGGGGACCCCAUGGGGCCCCCACAUGGUGCCGAGGCUGAUGCCAACUUUGAGCAGCUGAUGGUGAAUAUGCUGGACGAGCGGGAGAAGCUGCUGGAAUCCCUGCGUGAGAGCCAGGAGACCCUGGUGGCCACCCAGAGCCGGCUGCAGGAGGCCCUGCACGAGCGUGACCAGCUCCAACGCCACCUCAACUCAGCCCUGCCCCAGGAAUUCACCACCUUAACCCGGGAGCUGAGCAUGUGUCGGGAGCAGCUUCUAGAGCGGGAGGAAGAGAUAUCGGAGCUGAAGGCGGAGCGGAAUAACACCAGGUUACUUCUGGAACAUUUGGAAUGCCUGGUAUCCCGCCACGAGCGGUCACUGCGGAUGACUGUGGUGAAGCGUCAGGCCCAGUCCCCUUCUGGGGUCUCCAGUGAGGUGGAGGUGCUGAAGGCCCUCAAGUCAUUGUUCGAGCACCACAAGGCCCUGGAUGAGAAGGUGCGAGAGAGGCUCAGGGCAGCCCUGGAGCGAGUUGGCACCUUGGAAGAAGAGCUGGCAGGGGCACACCGGCAGGUGUCUGCGCUGCAGCAGGGGACAGGCCUUCGGGAUGGAGUGUCAGAAGAGGAGGGGACCAUGGAGCUGGGCCCAAAACGCCUGUGGAAGGAGGACGCAGGCCGCGUAGAGGAGCUGCAGGAGCUGCUGGAGAAGCAGAACUUUGAGUUGAGCCAGACACGGGAUCGGCUGGUCACUCUGACAGCGGCUGUGGCGGAGCUUGAGGAGGACCUGGGCACAGCUCGCCGGGACCUCAUCAAGUCGGAGGAACUGAGCAGCAAACAUCAGCGGGACCUUCGUGAGGCUCUGGCCCAGAAGGAGGACAUGGAGGAGAGAAUCACCACACUGGAGAAGCGUUACCUGGCUGCUCAGCGGGAGGCCACGUCCAUCCAUGACCUCAACGACAAGCUGGAGAAUGAGCUGGCCAAUAAAGAGUCCCUGCACCGCCAGUGUGAGGAGAAGGCUCGGCACCUCCAGGAGCUGCUGGAGGUGGCAGAGCAGAAGCUGCAGCAGACGAUGCGCAAGGCGGAGACGCUGCCUGAGGUGGAGGCCGAGUUGGCACAGAGAAUUGCAGCCCUUACCAAGGCUGAGGAGCGGCACGGCAACAUCGAGGAGCACCUGAGGCAGUUGGAGGGGCAGCUGGAAGAAAAGAACCAGGAGCUGGCCAGGGUGCGCCAGCGGGAGAAGAUGAACGAGGACCACAAUAAGCGGCUGUCAGACACUGUGGACCGGCUGCUGAGCGAGUCCAAUGAGCGCCUGCAGCUCCACCUUAAGGAACGCAUGGCGGCCUUGGAGGAGAAGAACACCUUGAUCCAGGAGCUGGAGAGCUCCCAGCGGCAGAUCGAGGAGCAGCACCAUCACAAGGGCCGCCUGUCUGAAGAGAUUGAAAAACUGCGCCAAGAGGUGGACCAGCUGAAGGGUCGAGGGGGGCCGUUUGUGGAUGGCCCUCACUCCAGGUCCCAUCUGGGCAGUGCAGCAGAAGUGCGCUUCUCCCUGGGCACCACCUCCCAUGGGCCCCCCAGUCUGCACCGGCGCUACUCGGCGCUUCGGGAAGGGUCUGCCAAGGAUUGGGAGUCCUCUUCACUGCCUGGGGUGCUGGCCUCGACUGCCACCCCUGCCUUUGACAGUGACCCAGAGAUCUCCGAUGUGGAUGAGGAUGAGCCAGGGGGUCUUGUGGGCUCUGUGGAUGCAGUCUCUCCUGGCGGCCACUCGGAUGCCCAGACCCUGGCCAUGAUGCUGCAGGAGCAGCUUGAUGCCAUCAAUGAGGAGAUAAGAAUGAUCCAGGAGGAGAAGGAGUCUACGGAGCUCCGUGCGGAGGAGAUUGAGACGCGGGUGACAAGCGGCAGCAUGGAGGCCCUCAACCUGACGCAGCUGCGCAAGCGUGCCUCCAUCCCCACCUCCCUGACUGCCCUGUCCCUGGCCAGCACGUCCCCAGCCCUCAGCGGUCGCUCCACCCCGAAGCUCACCUCUCGAAGUGCUGCCCAGGACCUGGACCGCAUGGGGGUCAUGACUCUGCCCAGUGACUUACGGAAGCACAGGAGGAAGCUGCUGUCACCAGUGUCUCGGGAAGAGAACCGAGAGGAUAAAGCCACCAUAAAAUGUGAGACUUCCCCUCCUUCCUCACCCAGGACGCUGCGGCUAGAGAAGCUUGGCCACCCAGCCCUGAGCCAGGAAGAAGGCAAGAGCAUGCUGGAGGAUCAAGGGAGCAACCCCAGCAGCAGCAGCAGCAGCCAGGACUCCCUGCACAAGGGUGCCAGGCGCAAGGGCAUCAAGUCAUCCAUCGGUCGCCUAUUUGGGAAGAAGGACAAGGGCCGACUCAUCCAGUUGAGCCGCGAUGGAUCCACGGGCCAAGUUCUGCUUACAGACUCCGAGCUCAGCCUGCAGGAGCCCCUCGUGCCUGCCAAGCUGGGGACCCAAGCAGAGAAGGACCGGAGGCUGAAGAAGAAGCACCAGCUGCUUGAAGAUGCCCGCAGGAAAGGGACGCCCUUUGCCCAGUGGGAUGGCCCCACGGUGGUCUCUUGGCUUGAGCUCUGGGUGGGCAUGCCUGCCUGGUAUGUGGCGGCCUGCCGGGCCAAUGUCAAGAGCGGUGCCAUCAUGUCGGCACUGUCGGACACAGAGAUCCAGCGUGAGAUCGGCAUCAGCAAUGCCCUACACAGGCUCAAGCUGAGACUGGCCAUCCAGGAGAUGGUGUCUCUGACCAGCCCAUCUGCACCACCCACCUCUAGGACCUCUUCUGGAAACGUCUGGGUCACCCAUGAAGAGAUGGAAACUCUGGCAACGUCUGCUAAAACAGACAGUGAGGAGGGCAGCUGGGCUCAGACCCUGGCCUACGGGGACAUGAACCACGAGUGGAUUGGCAACGAGUGGCUGCCCAGCCUGGGGCUCCCCCAGUACCGCAGCUACUUCAUGGAGUGCCUGGUAGACGCACGCAUGCUGGAUCACCUCACCAAGAAGGACCUCCGAGUCCACCUGAAGAUGGUGGACAGCUUCCACCGAGCCAGUCUUCAGUACGGCAUAAUGUGUCUGAAGAGGCUGAAUUACGACCGGAAAGAGCUGGAGAAGAGGCGGGAGGAAAGCCAGCAUGAGAUCAAGGAUGUGCUGGUCUGGACCAAUGAUCAGGUGGUCCACUGGGUACAGUCCAUCGGGCUCCGGGAUUAUGCGGGGAACCUGCACGAGAGUGGAGUGCAUGGAGCCCUGCUGGCCCUGGACGAGAACUUUGACCACAACACGCUGGCUCUGGUCCUUCAGAUCCCCACACAGAACACUCAGGCACGCCAGGUGAUGGAGAGAGAAUUCAACAACCUGCUGGCCUUGGGCACUGACCGGAAGUUGGAUGAUGGGGAGGACAAGGUGUUCCGCAGAGCGCCCUCCUGGAGGAAACGCUUCAGGCCGCGGGAGCAGCACGGCGGCCUGCUCAGCGCCUCGGCCGAGACCCUGCCCGCCGGCUUCCGCGUGGCCCCGCUCGGGUCUCUGCCGCCCGCGCCCAAGAAGCUGCUGCCGGAAGCCGGGACGGCGGGGCCGCAGAGACUGGAGCCCUCCACGGUCCGGACCUACUCCUGCUGACCCCGCCUCCCACCCGCACCCCGGGGCUCACGGGGUGUGCCCGUGGCUGGGCUCACUCCCACUAUCUCUACGGACACAUGCUCUCUGCCUUCCGCGACUAGCCACAGCCCCCCGGCCCAGCGGCCUCCUCCUGGCGCUGCUGGCCGCACCCUCCCGCUCGGUCCCUUUCUCCUGCCGCCCCCAGUCUCCGUGGUGACUGUCCAGUAGUCCCGGAUCUCCGCAUAUACUCGCCCCCCUUGGCUUCCCACUACCCUGAGCCCCACCAUGUGUGCUUUGUAAGUUUCCCGUGGACUUGGUGGGGGCUCCUGGCCCGAGGCCCCCAGUUAUCCAAUUUGGGAUUCAGGGGCCAGGAGAGGAGGGAACCCCAGGGCAGGUGUGACCCUCCCUCCCUCCCUCUCUGGAUCCUGCCUGGUCUGGACUGUGACUUUCACCAGAGACCAGGACAUCAUGCCAAGGGCUGGGACCGCCCUUCCCCAAAAGGGCAACUUCCAACUCUACCUUGCCAGGGUGUGUGGCCUGCUGGGCCCUCCCUGGCCACAUCCCGGCUCUUCCAGAAGGCGUGGUGCCUGGUUUGGUCACCUCUGACUUAGCCUCUCUCCACUCAUCUCUGCAGGACUGGGGAGGGGGGCCAGAGGAGGCCGGGUCUCCCUCCAGGUGGUGAGGCUGGGCAGGAGGGUGGCUGAGGUGCCAGGGCCAGAUACUGGCUUAAACUGAAUUCCACACAUGCCCUGAGAGAAAUGACCCCAGGGCUGUCGGCCUAAGGUAAGAAAGGACGGGAACCCUCAGGCCCAGAGACAGGUGUAGGAUGUCAGUAUACCGGAGGUGAGCAGAUGGCCUGUGGGAGGCCCUGGACAUGUCUCCUCAGUAGGGA